This 254-nucleotide ribosomal RNA is filed under the name uncultured bacterium. Its description in RNAcentral is "partial 16S ribosomal RNA". It matches the Rfam family "Bacterial small subunit ribosomal RNA", at positions 524 to 776 of the family's 1533-position model. The record is from RNAcentral.
UACGUAGGGCGCAAGCGUUGUCCGGAAUUAUUGGGCGUAAAGAGCUCGUAGGCGGCCUGUUACGUCUGCUGUGAAAUCCCGGGGCUUAACCCCGGGCGUGCAGUGGAUACGGGCAGGCUGGAGGCAGGCAGGGGAGAACGGAAUUCCCGGUGUAGCGGUGAAAUGCGCAGAGUAUCGGAAGGAACACCUGUGGCGAAAGCGGCUCACUGGACCAUUACUGACGCUGAGGCACGAAAGCUAGGGGAGCAAACAGG